Molecule: unclassified non-coding RNA, 165 nt
Filed under: uncultured Ascomycota
Lineage: Eukaryota; Fungi; Ascomycota
Description: sequence contains ITS2
Source: RNAcentral
CAAACCCUCAAGCUUAAGCUUGGUAUUGGGCUUCGUCCACUCUUUCAGGGAGGACGUGCCUGAAACUCAUAGGCAGUUGUUUUCAGCUUCUCAGCGUAGUCAUAUUUUAACAUCGCUUCGAAUUUCUGGAAGUAACCCGCCGAAAAACCACCAUAUUUUUCUAAG